CAGGUAUGCUAGUGCACUAGAGCGAAAUCCAGAAGAUUACGAUGCACUCUACAACUGGGCACUAGUUCUUCAGGAAAGUACGUGCUGACAAUGUUGGUCCAGAUUCUGGUACACCUUCAAAAGAUGCUUUGCUUGAAGAGGCAUGUAAAAGGUAUGAGGAGGCAACUCGGCUUUGCCCUAGACUAAAUGAUAUGACUGCUGUUAGAGUUUGAGGUGUAAUCAUUACCUGAAAUGUGUUCAUUGAGAGUGGAGGCUUAUUAUAAUUGGGCUAUAGCCAUCUCAGAUAGAGCAAAAAUGUGGGGUCGUACAAAAGAAGCAGAAGAACUUUGGAAAUAGGCAACUAAAAACUAUGAAAAAGUCGUUCAGCUCAAUAGGAACAGUCCUCAGGCACUCAACAACUGGGGACUGGCUCUAAAGGUAUUCGGGAUUGUGUAGAAUGACACGGAAGUGGGUGAAUAUACUGAAGCAAAUAGACGCAAGAGAUCCGUUUCGUAUUGAAAUGACCGAUGCCCUUCUCGAAAAGCUGUAUAACAUGGGUGCGAUAUCAGAACGGAAAAGUUUAGCUAUCAGUGUCAUCCUUCUGUAGGCUGCCGAUGUACUCGCUCAGAUAGAAAAGGCCAACAAGAAAAGGCUGGGAAUUGAGUGGGGAAAGGCAGAAGAGGAAAGUUUCAAGGCAAAAAUUGAAGAGAAAUAUGACAGAGACUCAGAGAGGGUGAUCCGUAUUACUCUACAUCAAGACUUUGGGAUGACGGUGUAAUUGAUCCAGCCGACACGAGAAAUGUCUUAGGCAUUUGAGAGCGAUAGUCCGUAUUCUAUCGACGACAUAAAUGAGCUUCGAGAGCAUUGGUCAAAGUACUUCUUUUCAGAAUGCUUAUAACUUUUAUUUUAUUGAUAAAAAGUAUUUUGUUUUGAUGAUAAUAUUGAGUUGGAC
Molecule: long non-coding RNA, 931 nt
Organism: Ipomoea nil (Japanese morning glory)
Lineage: Eukaryota; Viridiplantae; Streptophyta; Magnoliopsida; Solanales; Convolvulaceae
Exons: 9
Source: RefSeq, a predicted model, not a curated record